RNAcentral lists this non-coding RNA (24 nucleotides) under Arabidopsis thaliana (thale cress). Lineage: Eukaryota; Viridiplantae; Streptophyta; Magnoliopsida; Brassicales; Brassicaceae. The record is from RNAcentral.
AGGCUAGCGGGUUGGAAAGGCCGU